GGGUCAGUAGGUUGGUCGUGCCACUGGUAUGCACUGGCCUUACUGAUUCCUCCUUCUUGAAGAACUGUGAUGUCAUUUACUUGGUGUUGCAGGGAAACAGGACUGUUACUUUGAAAAAAUUAGAGUGUUCAAAGCAGGCGUUUCGCUUUCAUACUCCAGCAUGGAAUAAUAAAACAGGACUUUGGUCGUGUUUUGUUGGUUUUAAGGACCGAAGUA
This 216-nucleotide ribosomal RNA is filed under the name uncultured fungus. RNAcentral's name for it is "partial small subunit ribosomal RNA". The stretch from base 40 to 216 matches the Rfam family "Eukaryotic small subunit ribosomal RNA", at positions 686 to 864 of the family's 1831-position model. Lineage: Eukaryota; Fungi. The record is from RNAcentral.